UAAUACGUAGGUGGCAAGCGUUGUCCGGAUUUACUGGGCGUAAAGGAUGCGUAGGUGGAUAUUUAAGUGGGAUGUGAAAUACCCGGGCUCAACUUGGGUGCUGCAUUCCAAACUGGAUAUCUAGAGUGCAGGAGAGGUAAGUGGAAUUCCUAGUGUAGCGGUGAAAUGCGUAGAGAUUAGGAAGAACACCAGUGGCGAAGGCGACUUACUGGACUGUAACUGACACUGAGGCAUGAAAGCGUGGGGAGCAAACAGG
This 256-nucleotide ribosomal RNA is filed under the name uncultured bacterium. Its description in RNAcentral is "partial 16S ribosomal RNA". It matches the Rfam family "Bacterial small subunit ribosomal RNA", at positions 521 to 776 of the family's 1533-position model. The record is from RNAcentral.